RNAcentral lists this non-coding RNA (28 nucleotides) under Gallus gallus (chicken). RNAcentral also lists the same sequence under 5 other names. The record is from RNAcentral. Lineage: Eukaryota; Metazoa; Chordata; Aves; Galliformes; Phasianidae.
CUCGACUGCAUAAUUUGUGGUAGUGGGG